This 262-nucleotide ribosomal RNA is filed under the name uncultured Staphylococcus sp. RNAcentral's name for it is "partial 16S ribosomal RNA". It matches the Rfam family "Bacterial small subunit ribosomal RNA", at positions 99 to 355 of the family's 1533-position model. The record is from RNAcentral. Lineage: Bacteria; Bacillati; Bacillota; Bacilli; Caryophanales; Staphylococcaceae.
CGGACGGGUGAGUAACACGUGGAUAACCUACCUAUAAGACUGGGAUAACUUCGGGAAACCGGAGCUAAUACCGGAUAAUAUAUUGAACCGCAUGGUUCAAUAGUGAAAGACGGUUUUGCUGUCACUUAUAGAUGGAUCCGCGCCGCAUUAGCUAGUUGGUAAGGUAACGGCUUACCAAGGCAACGAUGCGUAGCCGACCUGAGAGGGUGAUCGGCCACACUGAACUGAGACACGGUCCAGACUCCUACGGGAGGCAGCAGCU